UUCCUUACGGGCCGCAGCAGUGAGGAAUAUUGGUCAAUGGGCGAGAGCCUGAACCAGCCAAGUCGCGUGAAGGAUGACGGCCCUACGGGAUGUAAAUUUCUUUUGUCAGGGAGAAAUUGGGUACACGUGUGGGCUUAGCGAGAGUACAUGAAGAAAAAGCAUCGGCUAACUCCGUGCCAGAAGCCGCGGGAAAACGGAGGAUGCGAGCGUUAUCCGGAUUUAUUGGGUUUAAAGGGUGAGGAGGCGGAAUAUCAAGUCAGCGGUAAAAAAUCGGGGGUCAACCCCGGCGUG
RNAcentral lists this ribosomal RNA (291 nucleotides) under uncultured bacterium. RNAcentral describes it as "partial 16S ribosomal RNA". It matches the Rfam family "Bacterial small subunit ribosomal RNA", at positions 335 to 622 of the family's 1533-position model. The record is from RNAcentral.